This 6138-nucleotide long non-coding RNA is filed under the name Glycine max (soybean). Its description in RNAcentral is "long non-coding RNA (GMAX_LNC001493)". The record is from RNAcentral. Lineage: Eukaryota; Viridiplantae; Streptophyta; Magnoliopsida; Fabales; Fabaceae.
UUGGAUCCCAAUUUUUCAGGAAAUAGCAGGGUUGCAGUUAUUCACCAGUGAGAAAUUUCCUAUACUCUACAAAUGGAGCCAAGAAUUCCUUAACCACCCUUUUGUGCACGAAGUCCUUCCUCCUAGAGACCCACUUUUUGCCUACUUCAAAGCCCGCUAUGAAAGUCUUUCUGCUUCAAAAUAGACUUAUUUAAGGAUAUUUGUUGAACAACUUGUGUCUUGUUGAGUUAUUGCUGUUUGAAUUUCAUGUAAAAUGAUACUAGCUAUAUGUAAAUCCCAGAAAAAAAAAAAAAAGAAUCCUAGGAUCUUGUUUUCGUUUUGGCCAUUUCAGUUAAUAAAGAAAUUAUAUUUUUCGAUAUAAAUUUUGUUGUGAAAAGCUUUAUUCUUCCUUCAUAAAAUCCUUCAAUGUGCAUAAUCUUAUUCGUAGAGAGACUUAGAGCGGCUAGUAGCUACUACCUUGAAAUUUUUUCUUUAAUUCGAAGGACAACGUAUAUAUUAUAUAAUAAUAAUUAUUGCAAGUUGGAAAUCGUGUAAGCAUGUUUCAUGACUAUAUGAGUUAACAAUAUACUGUCUUGCCUCUGCAACCUUCAUGGAUUCUAAAAUUAUUCCCUUGGCUGCAGUUGUUAUUUCAAUGUUGCAACAUGAGUUAACAAUACAUUGCAUUAACAUGAGUGAACAAUACAUUACGCAUGCUGUUUUUAAGGAUUGUUUUAUGAUUUUCUCUGCUGUUUUCUGUGCUGCACAAGUGAUGGCCUUUCAAUUUUCUGAUUUUUUGUUGUUGUUUAUAAACUGCUCUUUACUUUGGAGUACGACUUCACUAUUAAUUCAUGAGACAAUUGCUGAAUUGUUGAAGUCGUGAAAUAUCACUCGACUUCACUAUUAAUUAGUUUUGCAUUUUUAAUAUCACUUAGUUAUUAUUAAUUUAUGGUUUAGUAUUUUAGAAUAUUAGUGUUUAGUUAUUAUUAAUUUACGAUUUAGUUAGAUAAAUUAUUAUACAUGUUAAAUUAAUUUUGUUAAAUUAUUAUUUUGUGUUUUAGAAUAUUAGUGUUUAUUACGGUUUAGUUACAUAAAUUAUUAUAGAUGAUCAAUUAAUUUUGUUAAAUUAUUAUUUUAUGUUUUAGAAUAUUAGUGUUUAGUUAUUAUUAAUUUACGAUUUAGUUAGAUAAAUUAUUAUACAUGUUAAAUUAUUAUUUUGUGUUUUAGAAUAUUAGUGUUUAGUUAUCAUUAAUUUAUGGUUUAGUUACAUAAAUUAUUAUAGAUGAGCAAUUAAUUUUGUUAAAUUAUUAUUUUAUGUUUUAGAAUAAUACCGUUUAGUUAUUAUUAAUUUACAGUUUAGUUAUUAUUUUGUGUUUUAGAAUAUGAGUUAGACAAAUUAUUAUUACACUGUUCACUCCCGUGAAACCUAUAAAAAGAGAGUUCAUUCUCACUUCGAUGCAUCUGUUGCAUCCAAACAAUCACCCUAGUUCUCUGAUUUUGACGUGUUUCUUAGAGUCAUACUGACAUAAUUUUUUUAGUGUUACAUACAUGAAAAAGGUAUUUAAAAAUGUUUUAAUUUUUUACAUUACAUGUAAUCCAAUGAUUCCUUACUAAUCAAUAAUUUUUUUUUACAAAUGGCUACUGAAGAACCCAUAAUAAGAGAUAAUGUUAGUGACUUCAGUGAUGAUGAGCAACAACAUGAUUUUGGUGAACAUGGUGAACCAAGCAAUCAAAGUGAGUCAUCUUCAUAUUUUGAAACUAUUAGUAGCCAAAUUUCUAAAAAUCAAGAGUACUCAAAUCCUUAUCAAAGGACAACGAGUGUUAGUACAAAUGACCUUUAUGAAGGGUUGAUAUUUGAAUCAAAACAAGCCGCUGUGAAUGCCAUUAAACAAUUCCAUUUUAUGCAUUCAUUUAAUUUUGAUGUGGUCAAGAACAAGCGUGACAAGUAUGUUGUCAUGUGUAAUCAAUAUGGUAAUGGAUGUUAUUGGAGGGCGAGAGUAUCGUUCAGCAAAAUACGCAAAAGGUGGGAGCUGAAGAAAUUAAACGGUAUUCACACAUGCACAAAUUCUACCAUAUCACAAGAUCAUGUUAGGUUAGAUUCUUCUGUAAUUGCCCAUAAUAUUGUUCAUUUAGUGAAAACAAAUUCGGAUAUCGAAAUCAAAACCUUGAUUGCAGACAUGCAUCAACGGUUUCAUUACAUUGUUUCAUACAAAAAAGCAUGGACAGUAAACAAAAAGAUCUUGAAAUGGCAUUUGGAAGUUGGGAACAAUCAUAUAGUUACCUGCCUAUAUGGUUCACAGCUGCUCAACACUUUGUACCAGGUACCAUAGUAAAAUACACAACUUCAUCUUCAAUGGAGGAAGGUAACGAUAACCCUCUUAGGGUGAUUCUUAACCGUGUAUUUUAGGCGUUUAAUCCAUGCAUUGAAGGCUUCAAAUAUUGCAAGCCACUUGUGCAAGUAGAUGGGACAUUUUUAACUGGCAAAUACAAUGAUACUUUGUUGACUGCCAUCGGACAAGAUGGUAGUAGGGACAAUUUUCCACUUGCUUUUGCAAUUGUUGAGAGCGAGACUAAAGAAGCUUGGAUAUGGUUCUUGCAUUAUUUGUGAAGAUAUGUUACUCCGCAACCAAAUUUGUGUAUUAUAUCAGACAGGGGAACUGGUUUGCUAGCAACUUUACAAUCCAAACACGUUGGUUGGAAUGGACCAGAUGUUUCGUCUGUGUAUUGCAUUCGUCACAUUGCAUCAAAUUUCAACAAAUAGUUUAAAAAUGUUAACUUAAAAAAACAAGUCAUCAAUAUGGGUAUGUUUCUUCCUAUUUCAUGCAUCAUAUUCUUGCUUUAUUACAUGUUCACUAAAUUUUUUACUCAUUAUUCUAUCUUUUCGCACAGGGUAUGAGAUGAGGAAAUCAUGAUUUGAGGCUAAGUUGCUCGCUAGGCGAGCAGAGUUUCCACAAGCAGCAGAUUGGUUGGAUCAAAUUCGUAAGAGUAAAUUGACUCAGGCCUACGAUGAAGGAAAACGGUAUGGCCAUAUGACUACCAACCUUGUUGAAUGUAUGAAUUCUGUUUUGAAAGGAGCCCGAACAUUACCUAUUACUGCCUUAGUCAAUGAAACAUUUAAUAAAAUAAAUGAUUCAUUUGUCACUAACGACAUCAAAAUCAUGAAUAUGAUAAAGGCAGGGCAUAGGUACUCCGAAGACGUAUAUGUCAUGAUGCAAGAAAAUCAACACAUUGCUACCUCACAUUAUGUUCGCAUGUAUGUUCGAGAAACAAAGGAGUUUGAGGUUCAAGAAAUUGCAAAUACGCGACUUGGUCGACGAGGAAUGGCAUGCACUGUCAAAUUGAAUGAAUGGUUGUGUGAUUAUGGACAAUUUCAAGCACUUCGACUACCUUGCUCACAUGCAAUUGCAGCGUGUGCUUUUUGCAAUUUAAAUUAUGAUGACUUUGUUGACCCUGUAUACAAGUUGGAAAAUAUUUUCAAAGUUUAUCAACAUCAUUUUCAUUCCCUUGGAAGUGAAGACACGUGGCCUCAAUAUUUAGGUCCGCAUUUUAUGUCUGAUCCUUCGAAACGACGACAGAUAUCAGGCAGGCCAGCCACUACUCGGAUACAUAAUGAGAUGGAUGAAUCAAUUCCAAAUAGGCUUAAGAAAUGCUCAUUAUGUAAAACUGAAGGACAUAAUCAGAGUAACUGUCCAUACAAACAAGUACAUAACUAAAAUAACUUGUAAUUUUUAUGUUUUUCUUUCAUUUGUAUUGUGCGUUUUAUAUUAAUGUAUUAAUUAUGUUGUUUUUAAUUUUUAUUGAUAAAUUAUUUAAACUUUAAAUAAAAAACAUUUAAAGUAAACUAUAAUAAAAAUAUAUAUAACAUGUUUUAAAUAAUUAAACAUUAAAAUAAAAUAAUAACAUAUCAAAUAAAAUCACAAAAAAUAUACUAAUGAAAUCAACUUAAUAUUAUUUAUUAUAUAUUUAAAUAUAUAUUUUUUAACUUUUUUAUUUUAAAAAAAUAAAAUUGUUAACAUUAUAAAAUUAAAAAACAAAUUUAUGAAAAAAAAGGUUAACAAAUUAAAAACAAACUACAAAUAGUAAAAUAACGUUUUUAAAAAAAAAAGGAGGUUACGAUCUCAAAAUCGUAUACCUCAUGAAAUUUUUAAAAAAUAAGUAAGACAGUUUUACAACUUUAAAGUAAUAAAACAAAAUACGAGUUUUUUUUUAAUACGACUUUAAAGUCGUAAAAAAAUUAUAUUUACAUUGAAGUUGUAAAUAUUUUUACGAUUUCAGUUAAAAAAAUAAGAAAACUAAAAAGUCGUAAUAGGUGCUAACAACUGUUACAACUUAACCCGUUUUAGAUAAUUUUUUAAAAUAUACCCCAAAUGAAAAAUUGCGGAUUAUUUUAUCCCCAAUUGGUAAAAAAGCACCUGAAUACUAGAAACAAGGGUGGUCAAAGAUUCAAAGUAAUGAAUUUAUAAAAAAAAAAAGAAAAUAUUUAUAUAAUUACACAAAAUCUUAAAAAAUGUUGUUAUUAUUUACUCUAAUUUAUAAUUUGAAUUUAGGAUCGAGUAUAUUUAAGGAAAGUUCUCUACGCGGUUUACGUAAUCUCUUACAUCAUUUAUUUUUCCACGUUUGUUUACUCUGAGGAAUCUUCUUGAUAGGGGAAAGUUUUUUCAUAUUUUUUCUAGAUCCUUCUCAUGUGCAAUGUCUCCGCAUUCAUACGCAGCAAUCAAAAUGGAAUUAAUACACGGUAGCACUUUCCCAUUUUUUUGUUAUCGUCCCCACUAUUGACUAUACCCAUGAUAUGUAUAUAGGUAUAUCUUUUCUAAUUGAUUACGUAUCUGCUGAAUACUAGCUAGUCCUGAUUCCUAGCUCUAUAAAAGGAGAAUACCAUAGGAAUUCAUCACAGACAAACAAACAAUUUACCAGCUAUACUUGUUCCUUUUGAAGGUUAGAAGUGCUACAAUACAAACAAUGGCAGCUACUCAGGAAGAUGUGAAGCUUUUGGGUAUUGUGGGAAGCCCAUUUGUGUGCAGGGUCCAGAUUGCCCUUAAGUUGAAGGGAGUUGAAUACAAAUUUUUGGAAGAAAAUUUGGGCAACAAGAGUGAUUUGCUUCUCAAAUACAACCCUGUUCACAAGAAGGUUCCAGUGUUUGUUCACAAUGAGCAGCCCAUAGCAGAGUCUCUUGUGAUUGUUGAAUACAUUGAUGAGACAUGGAAGAACAACCCCAUCUUACCUUCUGAUCCUUACCAAAGAGCCUUGGCUCGUUUCUGGUCCAAAUUCAUUGAUGAUAAGGUAACUCAACAUUUCAAAAAUCUUCUUAGUUUUCAUGAUUUGUGCUGAUUUGUCAGCAAAACAUCACGAUGAAAUCUAUAUAUGUGAAAUCUUUCUGGUGUGGAAUAUAUAUGUGAAAUCUUUGAAUAUGUUAGAGAACUCAAAAGUCAACAGCCAACCAUGAUUUUUUUUAAUGUAUCAACUUUUUGUAAAACGAUAUUAGUGAUUUGAAACUUUAUGGAAUCAUAUACUAUGACUUUGGGAGAAAUUUUAUUUUAUUUUACUAUUUUUAUUUGGGGUGGGGGGAUUCUGUCAAGUAUUUGUUUCUAUAUAACUCGAUCUAAAUUCUGUUUGUCCUAAUCACUUUAAGAAAUAAUUACUAAUAAAUAAUGUGAUUUGCGAAAUCAGAUUGUGGGUGCAGUAUGGAAAUCUGUUUUCACGGUUGAUGAGAAAGAGCGUGAGAAGAAUGUUGAAGAAACAUAUGAGGCUCUUCAGUUUCUUGAGAAUGAACUGAAGGACAAGAAGUUUUUUGGAGGAGAGGAAUUUGGGUUGGUAGAUAUUGCUGCUGUCUUCAUAGCAUUUUGGAUCCCAAUUUUUCAGGAAAUAGCAGGGUUGCAGUUAUUCACCAGUGAGAAAUUUCCUAUACUCUACAAAUGGAGCGAAGAAUCCCUUAACCACCCUUUAGUGCAAGAAGUCCUUCCUCCUAGAGACCCACUUUUUACCUUCUUCAAAGCCCGCUAUGAAAGUCUUUCUGCUUCAAAAUAGACUUAUUUAAGGAUAUUUGUUGAACAACUUGUGUCUUGUUGAGUUAUUGAUGUUUGAAUUUCAUGUCAAAUGAUACUAGCUAUAUGUAAAUCCCAAAAAAAAAAAAAAAGAAUCCUAGGAUCUUGUUUUCGUUUUGGC